RNAcentral lists this ribosomal RNA (535 nucleotides) under uncultured bacterium. RNAcentral's name for it is "partial 16S ribosomal RNA". It matches the Rfam family "Bacterial small subunit ribosomal RNA", at positions 355 to 880 of the family's 1533-position model. The record is from RNAcentral.
UAGGGAAUCUUCCACAAUGGACGCAAGUCUGAUGGAGCAACGCCGCGUGAGUGAAGAAGGUCUUCGGAUCGUAAAUGCUCUGUUGUUGGUGAAGAAGGAUAGAGGCAGUAACUGGUCUUUAUUUGACGGUAAUCAACCAGAAAGUCACGGCUAACUACGUGCCAGCAGCCGCGGUAAUACGUAGGUGGCAAGCGUUGUCCGGAUUUAUUGGGCGUAAAGCGAGCGCAGGCGGAAUGAUAAGUCUGAUGUGAAAGCCCACGGCUCAACCGUGGAACUGCAUCGGAAACUGUCAUUCUUGAGUGCAGAAGAGGAGAGUGGAACUCCAUGUGUAGCGGUGGAAUGCGUAGAUAUAUGGAAGAACACCAGUGGCGAAGGCGGCUCUCUGGUCUGCAACUGACGCUGAGGCUCGAAAGCAUGGGUAGCGAACAGGAUUAGAUACCCUGGUAGUCCAUGCCGUAAACGAUGAGCGCUAGGUGUUGGGGACUUUCCGGUCCUCAGUGCCGCAGCAAACGCAUUAAGCGCUCCGCCUGGGGAG